RNAcentral lists this ribosomal RNA (393 nucleotides) under uncultured bacterium. Its description in RNAcentral is "partial 16S ribosomal RNA". It matches the Rfam family "Bacterial small subunit ribosomal RNA", at positions 523 to 918 of the family's 1533-position model. The record is from RNAcentral.
AUACGGAGGAUCCGAGCGUUAUCCGGAUUUAUUGGGUUUAAAGGGAGCGUAGGCGGACGCUUAAGUCAGUUGUGAAAGUUUGCGGCUCAACCGUAAAAUUGCAGUUGAUACUGGGUGUCUUGAGUACAGUAGAGGCAGGCGGAAUUCGUGGUGUAGCGGUGAAAUGCUUAGAUAUCACGAAGAACUCCGAUUGCGAAGGCAGCCUGCUGGACUGUAACUGACGCUGAUGCUCGAAAGUGUGGGUAUCAAACAGGAUUAGAUACCCUGGUAGUCCUCACAGUAAACGAUGAAUACUCGCUGUUUGCGAUAUACAGUAAGCGGCCAAGCGAAAGCGUUAAGUAUUCCACCUGGGGAGUACGCCGGCAACGGUGAAACUCAAAUGAAUUGACGGGG